Molecule: ribosomal RNA, 953 nt
Filed under: Strongyloides fuelleborni fuelleborni
Lineage: Eukaryota; Metazoa; Nematoda; Chromadorea; Rhabditida; Strongyloididae
Description: 16S ribosomal RNA
Source: RNAcentral
AUUUGUAUGUUAUAUAUAUAUUGGGAUUGCAUCCCAUUGAAGGAAAAUUUACAAUGAUUUUGUAUAAUUGAAAUAUAGGGUAAGAUGUCCAUUUUGUGUUAUUGUUACAAAAUAACUUUUAAUGGGUCAUGGUGCUGAAAUAUCGUCCUAUAUGAUAUCAGUUUUUAUUUUAUAUACUAGAAAAUUGUAACUUUAUUUUUACCAUGUGUCAGUGUCAAGGAUCCGUAGUGUCUUUGAUUUCUAGUGUUACAACUAUACUGGGAAAUUGGGUUUUAUUUAUAUUUUUAUUCUAUAAAGCAUUAUAGAAUAAAUUAUCUUCAAAUUAGUAGAUUGGUUAAAGUUAGUAGGUGUUUAUAAUAUAAUAGGAGAACUCAGAAGCGAGAUCAAAUGUUUAUUAAAGACUUAGGGUAACAAGUAUACCUGACUUCUGCCCGAUGUACGUAUGUAUCAAUGGCAGACUUAGCGUGAGGUCAUUAAGGUAGCAAAAUCAUUUGUUUCUUUAUUGGAUUCCAGUAUGAAUGAAGGUUUGGUUAGCGUUCUUUCUUUUUUUUUUUCGAAUUUAUUAUCUAUCUAAGAAAUGAUAGGUGCAUUACUACAAAGAUAAGUCUUCGGAAACUCUGUUGGUGUAUAUUCAAUGAGUUUAUAUACUAGGUUAACUAGGGAAGUUAAUUAUAUAAUCAUCUUUUUCCUGUUUACAUAAUAAAGAGUUACUUCGGAGUUAACAGAAAUUCAUACUUGAUAUAGUGACUUAUAUUAGGGUAAGUUUUACAUCGAUGUUGUAUCUCCACAUACCGAGAAAGAAUAAGGCUUGGUAAUCCAGACUGUUCUUCUAUGAGAUAGUGGGACGUGAUAUUAGUUUAAUUCGACGCAAGUCAGAAUUGUUUAUCUUGAGUAUUGCUUAUAUAUAGUAUGUUUAGUACGAAAGGAAUUACACUAAAGUGAUCCACUAUUUU